Mauremys mutica (yellowpond turtle) is the source of this 236-nucleotide long non-coding RNA. RefSeq lists it as uncharacterized. Lineage: Eukaryota; Metazoa; Chordata; Testudines; Geoemydidae. The record is from RefSeq and is a predicted model, not a curated record. The transcript has 3 exons.
CUUCCCAUCUGUCCGGCCUCUCAGCAGAGCGGUGCCCCCAGACCUAGUGGUGCCCUAGGCGGCUGCCUGUUCUGCCUAUGGCUAAGGACGGCUCUGGAGGCGGAGCUGGGGCGAGCUCCCCAGGCGAGGCAUCUCCCAGCAAUGGAACCAACAUCCAAUGAAGCCUCACAACAAUCAUUGCAUCCCACAGACCAGAUACCAGAAUAUAUCACACCCUGAAGACUCAGUAUACAGUG